Molecule: ribosomal RNA, 684 nt
Filed under: Alternaria alternata
Lineage: Eukaryota; Fungi; Ascomycota; Dothideomycetes; Pleosporales; Pleosporaceae
Description: SSU rRNA
Rfam family: Eukaryotic small subunit ribosomal RNA
Source: RNAcentral
UAAAUACUGAUACAGGGCUCUUUUGGGUCUUGUAAUUGGAAUGAGUACAAUUUAAACCUCUUAACGAGGAACAAUUGGAGGGCAAGUCUGGUGCCAGCAGCCGCGGUAAUUCCAGCUCCAAUAGCGUAUAUUAAAGUUGUUGCAGUUAAAAAGCUCGUAGUUGAAACUUGGGCCUGGCUGGCGGGUCCGCCUCACCGCGUGCACUCGUCCGGCCGGGCCUUCCUUCUGAAGAACCUCAUGCCCUUCACUGGGCGUGCUGGGGAAUCAGGACUUUUACUUUGAAAAAAUUAGAGUGUUCAAAGCAGGCCUUUGCUCGAAUACGUUAGCAUGGAAUAAUAAAAUAGGGCGUGCGUUUCUAUUUUGUUGGUUUCUAGAGACGCCGCAAUGAUUAACAGGAACAGUCGGGGGCAUCAGUAUUCAGUUGUCAGAGGUGAAAUUCUUGGAUUUACUGAAGACUAACUACUGCGAAAGCAUUUGCCAAGGAUGUUUUCAUUAAUCAGUGAACGAAAGUUAGGGGAUCGAAGACGAUCAGAUACCGUCGUAGUCUUAACCGUAAACUAUGCCGACUAGGGAUCGGGCGAUGUUCUUUUUCUGACUCGCUCGGCACCUUACGAGAAAUCAAAGUUUUUGGGUUCUGGGGGGAUUAUGGUCGCAAGGCUGAAACUUAAAGGAUUGGACGGAAGA